Molecule: transfer RNA, 62 nt
Filed under: Ichthyotettix mexicanus
Lineage: Eukaryota; Metazoa; Arthropoda; Insecta; Orthoptera; Pyrgomorphidae
Description: tRNA-Thr
Rfam family: tRNA
About the family: Transfer RNA (tRNA) molecules are approximately 80 nucleotides in length. Their secondary structure includes four short double-helical elements and three loops (D, anti-codon, and T loops).
Source: RNAcentral
GUUUUAAUAGUUUAAAAAACAUCGGUCUUGUAAACCGAAAUUAAGUCCCCCCUUUUAAAACU